This 1002-nucleotide long non-coding RNA is filed under the name Canis lupus familiaris (dog). RNAcentral describes it as "lncRNA (ENSCAFG00000053810.1)". The record is from RNAcentral. Lineage: Eukaryota; Metazoa; Chordata; Mammalia; Carnivora; Canidae.
AUGGAAGAGUGUGAUGGAAGAGUGUGCUACGCGGCGCGGAGCUGGAGCUCGUCAACUCGCUCCUUCCCGCCCGGGCUCGAGCAGGGCCCCUCCCCCGCCCGGAGGCGGCGGCCCCGGGGCCCGAGGGAACGGCUGGCGGUCCCGCCCCUUCCGGGCGCCGUCUCCCGGCAACGGCCCCAACAGCCCGGCCCGUCGCCCCGCCCCUUCCGGCUCCCGGGGCUCUGCGGGCGCCGUCUCCCGGCAACGGCCCCAACAGCCCGGCCCGUCGCCCCGCCCCUUCCGGCUCCCAGGGCUCUGCGGGCGCCGUCUCCCGGCAACGGCCCCAACAGCCCGGCGCGUUCCAUGCCGGGCUCCUCCAGGCAGAGCGCGCAGUCCCCGCCGCCGCCGCCGCCGCCCGGCGCCCUCCGCGCCCUCCGCGCCCUCCGCGCCCUCCGCGGCCUCCGCGCCCGGCUGGACGGGCUCCCGCUCACCGCCCGCAGCACCACCGGGCCCGGGACCUCGGCGACCGCGGCGAGGGCGCUCGCUUCCGGCCGCAGGGGGCGCCCGGCGGUCAGACCCGGCGGCCCGGCUCGCGGCCUCCCUGCCGUGGCGCAGCCCGGGCUCCCCCGCAGCCGCUCCUCCCCCGGGGCGCCCACGCCGCGCUGGGUCUCCGGCCCCCUCUGCCCAGGGGUCGCGGGCGCUGCCCCGGGUGGAAGCGGGGUGGAUGCCAGGCUCCGCGCCGCGCUGAGCUCGCACCCCUGCCGCUGCGGUGAUGCUCGCGGCCCGUUGACCUGCACAAGCACGUCCGCCUGCAGCACAGACCUGGAGCGUCCUCGAGGCAGGGCGCCCCCUCCCUGGCCCGCUGGCCCUGCAGCCUCCCGGCUCCCUGCAGCGGCCAGGGCCAGGGCGCCAGUCCCAGUCCAGCCCGAGCUGACCACGGCGCUCACCCGCCGGCCCAGCCGUCGUUCUGGGGCACAGAGGCCGGGCAGUGAGCGGGCCCUUCCGCUGGGAGGACCGGCCUAA